This 489-nucleotide ribosomal RNA is filed under the name uncultured Actinomycetes bacterium. Its description in RNAcentral is "bacterial SSU rRNA". It matches the Rfam family "Bacterial small subunit ribosomal RNA", at positions 390 to 896 of the family's 1533-position model. Lineage: Bacteria; Bacillati; Actinomycetota; Actinomycetes. The record is from RNAcentral.
AGCAACGCCGCGUGCGGGAUGAAGGCCUUCGGGUUGUAAACCGCUUUCAGCAGGGAUGAAACUGACAGUACCUGCAGAAGAAGCCCCGGCUAACUACGUGCCAGCAGCCGCGGUAAUACGUAGGGGGCGAGCGUUAUCCGGAUUCAUUGGGCGUAAAGAGCGCGUAGGCGGCUUGUUAAGCGAGAUGUGAAAACCGGGGGCUUAACCCGCGGCCUGCAUCUCGAACUGGCAGGCUUGAGUCUGGUAGAGGAGUGUGGAAUCCCCAGUGUAGCGGUGAAAUGCGCAGAUAUUGGGAGGAACACCAGUGGCGAAGGCGGCACUCUGGGCCACGACUGACGCUGAGGCGCGAAAGCUAGGGGAGCGAACAGGAUUAGAUACCCUGGUAGUCCUAGCCGUAAACGAUGGGCACUAGGUGUGGGGGGUAUAACUCCCUCCGUGCCGCAGCUAACGCAUUAAGUGCCCCGCCUGGGGAGUACGGCCGCAAGGCUA